This is a small nuclear RNA of Ictidomys tridecemlineatus (thirteen-lined ground squirrel), 107 nucleotides long. Lineage: Eukaryota; Metazoa; Chordata; Mammalia; Rodentia; Sciuridae. The record is from Ensembl.
AUGGCAUCUUUGGCAGCACAUAUCCUAAAAUUGGAAUGAUACAGAGAAGAUUAACAUGGCCCUUGCACAAGGAUGAUAUGCAAAUUAAUGAAGCAUUCUGUGUUUUU